RNAcentral lists this ribosomal RNA (710 nucleotides) under uncultured Haplosporidia. RNAcentral describes it as "SSU rRNA". It matches the Rfam family "Eukaryotic small subunit ribosomal RNA", at positions 1109 to 1831 of the family's 1831-position model. Lineage: Eukaryota; Endomyxa; Ascetosporea; Haplosporida. The record is from RNAcentral.
GGACUCGGGGGGAAGUAUGCUCGCAAGAGUGAAACUUAAAGAAAUUGACGGAAAGGCACCACCAGAUGUGGAGCCUGCGGCUUAAUUUGACUCAACACGGGAAAACUUACCAGGUCCAGACAUAGUAAGGAUUGACAGAUUGAAGUUCUUUCUUGAUUCUAUGCAUGGUGGUGCAUGGCCGUUCUUAGUUGGUGGAGUGAUUUGUCUGGUUAAUUCCGAUAACGAACGAGACCCCAGCCAUCUAAAUAGCAGUCGCUAACCCGUUAGCUAUAUCCUUAUGGAUAGAUCCGCUUCUUAGAGGGACAAUCUGUGCCUAGCAGAUGGAAGUUUGAGGCAAUAACAGGUCAGUGAUGCCCUUAGAUGCUCUGGGCUGCACGCGCGCUACAAUGGUGCACUCAGCGAGUUCAUCCUUGCCUGAGAAGGCUGGGUAAUCUUGAAAGUGCAUCCAAGUUGGGAUAGAUGAUUGCAAUUUUCCAUCUUGAACAAGGAAUAUCUAGUAAACGCAAGUCAUCAACUUGCAUUGAUUACGUCCCUGCCCUUUGUACACACCGCCCGUCGCUUCUACCGAUUGAAUAAUCCGGUGAACUGAGUGGAUGGAGGCGAAUUCAUUUUCUUAGUUUAUUCGCACCCAGAAGCUUCGUGAACCUUAUUAUUUAGAGGAACGAGAAGUCGUACAAGGUCUCCGUAUGAUGGGCGAAUUCCACAUUGGG